RNAcentral lists this ribosomal RNA (112 nucleotides) under Ochotona princeps (American pika). Lineage: Eukaryota; Metazoa; Chordata; Mammalia; Lagomorpha; Ochotonidae. The record is from RNAcentral.
GGCUACAGCCAUGCCAGCCUGAAGGUGCCCAAGCUCAUCGGAUCUUGGAAGCUAAGCAGGGCAGAGUCUGGUUGGUAUUUGCAUGGGAAAACAUCACGUAUUGCUUUAAGCU